RNAcentral lists this small RNA (607 nucleotides) under Histoplasma ohiense. RNAcentral's name for it is "hypothetical lncRNA". Lineage: Eukaryota; Fungi; Ascomycota; Eurotiomycetes; Onygenales; Ajellomycetaceae. The record is from RNAcentral.
AGCUCAGUUCAGCCCUUCCACCGUUGUUAAGUCCACAUGCUGGUCAGACCUGCAUUCCAGCCACCGUGAAUAGUCGCGCCUGUUGGUUUCAGCACUCGCUUUAGUUACAUCAUGGAACACGGAAAAUUAUGCUAUCCUGGUAUUGUCUCGCCCUACGUGUCUCAGAAUUUCAUGAAGCGUUCAACCGGGGAAUUAAGACACCCUACGGAGGAUCCUCUCAAAAGUUUUGUGUAAGAGAUGGUUCUAGGUAUAAUUAUGAGAGUAGUGUGAAGUACACACGUAGGAUAUUAAGAAGGUAGCAAUCUCUAUUAUUCAAAGCUAAUCGCUGAUCUCCUAAUAUCUACAGAUAUCAGCGAGCAUUAUAUAGGCGACCACCACGCCCUACAGCCACCUAUGGUGCUGUGUGCUAUGUCCAUCCUUAUUAAUUCUGGUGUGUUCUGUGUUCUUCUAUUGUCACAUAGCUAUUUCCUAAUAUAGAUAUCUCUGUUGCAUCUAUUACAAUUAUCUCUCUUCUUCAAAGGCCUGGUCCCCAGAACUUCUUAUUGCAACAUGUGAAGUUUGUAAUAUAUGCUGUGUAAUUGAUAUUGUAUAAAGUUCACAGAAUUGA